RNAcentral lists this small RNA (259 nucleotides) under Arabidopsis thaliana (thale cress). Its description in RNAcentral is "ATSL044730". Lineage: Eukaryota; Viridiplantae; Streptophyta; Magnoliopsida; Brassicales; Brassicaceae. The record is from RNAcentral.
AAUACAUAAAUACUAGGUUCAAGGAUUCGGUUUUAUUCAGUUUUUCGGUUCUAGCCUCUUAGGAUCCAUAAGAGAACCAAAAAAGUUUCGGGUUCAGGUUCGCAUACUUAGAAAGAGAGCCGAAAAUUAACUGAACUCCAUUAAUAGAUAUCCGUUCCGUUUGGUUCCCGUUAUUUUACACAAAAUACCAAAAAAAAACGAAAAAACCAAAUAUCCAAAACAUUUUUGACGAAAUAUCUAUGAACAAAAAUAUUAAAAU